GAUGAAGAACGUAGCGAAAGGCGAUACGUAAUGUGAAUUGCAGAAUUCAGUGAAUCAUCGAGUCUUUGAACGCACAUUGCGCCCCCUGGUAUUCCGGGGGGCAUGCCUGUCCGAGCGUCAUUGCUGCCCUCAAGCACGGCUUGUGUGUUGGGCCUCCGUCCUCCUCCCGGGGGACGGGCCCGAAAGGCAGCGGCGGCACCGCGUCCGGUCCUCGAGCGUAUGGGGCUUCGUCACCCGCUCUUGUAGGCCCGGCCGGCGCUUGCCGACACAUCAAUCUUUUUUCCAGGUUGACCUCGGAUCAGGUAGGGAUACCCGCUGAACUUAAGCAUAUCAAUAAGCGGAGGA
Molecule: unclassified non-coding RNA, 345 nt
Filed under: soil metagenome
Description: partial contains 5.8S ribosomal RNA, internal transcribed spacer 2, and large subunit ribosomal RNA
Rfam family: 5.8S ribosomal RNA (bases 1-120)
Source: RNAcentral